AGGAAGGAGUAAGGGAAGGAAGAAGGGAAGGGAAAAGUGAAGGAAGGAAAGAAGACAAGGAAGGAAGGGGUAAAGGAAAAGAAGAAAGGAAAGGAAGAAGUAAGUGAAAGAAAGAAGAAAAGGAAGGAGGAAGGGAAAGGAAGGAAGGAAGGAAAUGAAGGAAAGGAAGAAAGAAAGGAAGGAAGGAAGGAGCAAGGGAAGGAAGCAGGGAAGGGAAAGAAAAGAAGAAAGCGAAGGAAGGAAAGAUGAAAAAGAAAGAAAGGAGCAAUGGAAGGAAAGAAAAAAGGAAGGAGUAAAGGAAAGAAGAAGGGAAUGGAAGAGAAAAGGAAGGAAGAAAGAAAGGAAGAAAGUCAAGGAAGAAAAGAAAGGAGUAAAGGAAAGAAGGAAGGAAGGAAAGAAAAAAGGAAGGAGUAAGGGAAGGAAGAAGGAAAAGUGAAGUAAGGAAGGAAAGAAGACAAGGAAGGAAGGAAGGAAUAAGGGAAAGAAGAAGGGAAAAGAAAGAAAGAAAGAAAGUGAAGGAAGAAAAGAAAGGAAGAAAAGGAAGAAGGGAAAGAAGAAGAAAAGACAAGGAAAGGAAGGAAGGAAGCAAAGGAAGGAAAGAAAGAAAGAAAGUGAAGGAGUAAGAAAAGAGUCCCAUAAAUAAAUAUUAAAGGGAGGGAAGGAAGGAAGGAAGGAAAAGAAGGGAAGAAGGAGACUUUCUCGCCCUCUUUUCUUGGCAAACCGGGAAUUCACUCAAGACGGGAAUCUCUGUCUGUCUGGUCGAAGCCUUUCGCGGCCGGAAUCGCUGCCUUGCUGCGAGUUUUCCGGGCCGCCUGGCCCUGUCCCCUACUUGGCGCCUUAGUCUUGGUCUCUGAGCAGCCCCGAGGCCUCUCAGCACCCCCAAAAAAGGGAAGGCGAGGCCUCCUCCACCCCGGGAACCUCCGUGGCCUGGUCCGCAAGCCGCGAGCGCCCACGGUUUCCAAUUGAGCCCAGAAAACGCGACGGAAGAGACUGAGAGACGCGCAAGAAAGGACUUGGAUUUGGAGGAGAAAGAGGGGCAGAAAAGGGGGCAGAAAGGGGGAAGGAGACCCCGCUUUGGGGGCAGACUUCUGGGGAGAGUCGGGGCCCCAAGCGGGGACGGAGCCUCGGCUUUUGGAGAGGUUUUGGGGAGCUUUUGGGGCGCCUUUUGGAGAGGUUUUGGGAAGCGUUUUAGCGAGGUUUUGGGGAGCUUUGGGACAGGCUUUUUGACGCUUUUGGGGAGCGUUUUGGAGAGGUUUUAAGGAGCUUUUGGAGAGGAUUUUGGGACGCUUUUGGGGAGCUUUUUGGGGAGCUUUUGGAGAGACUUUGGGAAGCUUUUGGGGAGCUUUUGGAGAGGUUUUGGGAAGCGUUAUAGAGAAAUUUUGGGGAGCUUUUGGACCGGCUUUGGGACGCUUUCGGAGAGGUUUCUGGGGAGCUUUUGGAGAGCCUUUGGCGUAGCUUUUUGGGGAGCUUUUGGAGAGGUUUUGGGAAGCGUUUUUAGAGAGGUUUUGGGGAGCUUUUGGACCGGUUUUGGGACGCUUUGGAGAGGUUUUUGGGGAACUUUUGGAGAGACUUUGGGGUAGCUUUUUGGGGAGCCUUUGGAGAGACUUCUGGAGAGGUUUUGGGGAGCUUUUGGAGAGUCUUUGGGAAGCUGUUGGGGAGCCUUUGGAGAGACUUUUGGAGAAGUUUUGUGGGAUGUUACGGAGAGGUUUUGCGGAGUGUUAUGGAGAGGUUUUGGGGGGCUUUUGGGUAGCUUUUGGAGAGCUUUUUGGGGAGAUUUUGGAGACUUUUCCGGGGAGCUUUUUGGGGAGGAUUAGAUGAGCUUUUGGAGAGACUGGAGAACUUUCUGGGGAGCUUUUGGAAAGGUUUUAGGGAGUCUUUGGGGAGACGUUUCUGGAGAGCUUUUGGGGACCUUUUUGGGGAGCCUUUGGGGCAUUUUUGGGCAGCUUUUUGGAGAGGCUUUGCAAAGCUUUGGGGGGCCUUUUUGGGGAGGUCUUGAGGAGCUUUUGGAGUGCUCUUUCGGAGACGUUUCGGAGAGCUUUCUGGGGAGAUUUCGCGGUGGUUUUGGGGACCUUUUUGGAGAGGUUUUGGGGACCUUUUAGGGAAGUUUUUGGAGAGCUUUUGGGAAGCAAUUCGGAGAGGUUUCGGAGAGCUUUCUGGGGAGAUUUCGCGGUGGUUUUGGGGACCUUUUAGGGAAGUUUUUGGGAAGCAAUUUGGA
Long non-coding RNA from Anolis carolinensis (green anole), 2215 nucleotides. RefSeq lists it as uncharacterized. Lineage: Eukaryota; Metazoa; Chordata; Lepidosauria; Squamata; Anolidae. The transcript is spliced from 3 exons. The record is from RefSeq and is a predicted model, not a curated record.